Molecule: long non-coding RNA, 1448 nt
Filed under: Hordeum vulgare
Lineage: Eukaryota; Viridiplantae; Streptophyta; Magnoliopsida; Poales; Poaceae
Description: long non-coding RNA (HVUL_LNC003946)
Source: RNAcentral
GAAUCUCUAGAAGAACUUAUAUUUAGGAACGGAGGGAGUACAAGACAUGAUUUACACUCUUUUGUAGAAAAAGAACGUUGAGACAAUCACCAGCCUUUCACACGGUCACACCAUGCAAAAAAAGGAUUUAGCCAUGCCGAUCUCCCCUACCUAGCCGACAAACCGCAACAAGAAGUCGUCAAUCUAAAGCAUGAACCCUUGGUUUCCAUUGAUGAACUUGCAACAAUAAAUUUUGGCAUAGUUUCAAACAAAAAAAGAACUAUCUAUAAAUAUAUUAUGCUCAUUUGGUCUUUAAACGGGGCAUGUUCACCUGACCCUUUCUGAGAUGCAGCUGCAUGAUGAUUCUCCAUCUGUAACAUGUUAAAACCAUCCAUGGUAAAGCAAUGAAAUCCGUAGAACUAUAUAAUUGUUACAAUUGAUGUUAGACUCUAGACAUUCAUAAAGUCAGAAUAGGAUGAGUAAAUAGUUGCUUCCUAUUUGGAUUUAGAUCACAUCUUAGUUAAGAAAUACAUAGAUACAAAAUUUGUAGUACAUUACAGGGAGUAUUAGGUCAAGAUAGAAAAAGGCAAGAUACAUUUAAGAGGUUAAAAAAACAAAAUUAUUAUCAUGUCAUGGGGCAUUAUAAUAACUGAAUCAAUCACUUAGAACUUUUGGACAUCGCCGUAUCAAAAUAACGUUACCUACCUUUGUACAACGUAAUUAAUCGGGGCCAGAUCAACUUGUUUUAUGAAGGGCGUGAAAGUUGUUGGUGAGACAAAAAAAUUGUUGACACUCGUAUUUUUCCCACACAUAUAUGCGAAUAAGGAGAAACAUCAUCCUUCAGUAGAGCUGUGUUGAGGAAAUAUGAAAUAAACCUGUUAUGCUACGGGUCCGCUCCAAAAGAAUGAGAAGUUCUUUACGGCUUAAUGUGUGAAAGCCUUCCAUGUCUUGCUCUUCAGACUAGGAGAGUAGGAAUCGCUAGGAAUAUCAAAAUAUCAAUGGGUCCCUACAAGUUAUAAAGUAAACCCGAUGGUUGCACUUCCCUAGUUUCAGAAAGGGGAAGCAUAUAAAAGCCUAAAUAUAUAAAUAAAAGGUCUAAUCCAUUAUUAGCCAACAUCUCCUACGACUGAAUGUAAAUCGUUCCAAUUAAGAAGAAAUUAAACUAAAAAUAGAAGGACACUCCUCACAAAUAGCUAGCAAUACAUAGAUAUUGUGUUCACCUUGGAAAUAUGAACCCCAGGCUUCUAGGUGCUCUAGAACAUUUGAUACAAAUCAAGGCACCAAAAGUAAAUGAUCUGCAAAGAGCAUAUCACAACAUUUGAAAAUUACAAAUAAUGUGGAACACUCAGACUCAUAUACCAUGUUGGUAACAAGUUUCGUAAGAUUAUAAAAAAUACAGAUAGUGUUGUAACUUAACUCUGCCAUCGUCGACCCGGCAAGGCCGAGAAGUAGCUCCCGCGCCCCCGGAC